RNAcentral lists this ribosomal RNA (533 nucleotides) under Globigerinella siphonifera. RNAcentral's name for it is "SSU rRNA". It matches the Rfam family "Eukaryotic small subunit ribosomal RNA", at positions 1191 to 1460 of the family's 1831-position model. The record is from RNAcentral. Lineage: Eukaryota; Foraminifera; Rotaliida; Globigerinidae.
GUGGCUAAUUUGACUCAACGCGGGGAAUCUUACCGGGUCCGGACACACUGAGGAUUGACAGACAGUUGUCUUUCCCUCCCUUCGGGGUGGGAUUACAAAAGAUAACAGAUCUUUCAUGAUCAUGUGAUGGGUGGUGCAUGGCCGUUCUUAGUUCGUGGAGUGAUCUGUCUGCUUAAUUGCGUUUCAAAUUUUAUAUUUGUUAACAUGCGAGUCUUCAAUGACGGCCACUCCACCUUAUAGACAUUAUAUGAUAUGCACAUUUGUGUAUUUGAUUAUAACUUGUCUGGAGUCUGGCUCGAUUUUUUUGACUCAAUUGAACGCAACGGACGUGAUUGCAAGUCCUUGUUGAACAAAUUAUAUAUAUACUACUUCAUCAUUAGUAUAUAUAGUUCGCUUCUCAUGUCGUAGCAGUCAAACGGGCGGGCGUCUUAAUUGGCGCGGUCACGAGGCUUAAUAUGCUGCGGCUGGGAAAACUUGGGCGACCGCUGUAAUACUUCUCUCUUAAACCAGAGGAAGAUUGCGGCAAUAACAGG